This 1345-nucleotide ribosomal RNA is filed under the name uncultured bacterium. Its description in RNAcentral is "partial 16S ribosomal RNA". It matches the Rfam family "Bacterial small subunit ribosomal RNA", at positions 28 to 1382 of the family's 1533-position model. The record is from RNAcentral.
GACGAACGCUGGCGGCGUGCUUAACACAUGCAAGUCGAACGGAAAGGCCCUGCUUUUGUGGGGUGCUCGAGUGGCGAACGGGUGAGUAACACGUGAGUAACCUGCCCUUGACUUUGGGAUAACUUCAGGAAACUGGGGCUAAUACCGGAUAGGAGCUCCUGCUGCAUGGUGGGGGUUGGAAAGUUUCGGCGGUUGGGGAUGGACUCGCGGCUUAUCAGCUUGUUGGUGGGGUAGUGGCUUACCAAGGCUUUGACGGGUAGCCGGCCUGAGAGGGUGACCGGCCACAUUGGGACUGAGAUACGGCCCAGACUCCUACGGGAGGCAGCAGUGGGGAAUAUUGCACAAUGGGCGGAAGCCUGAUGCAGCAACGCCGCGUGCGGGAUGACGGCCUUCGGGUUGUAGACCGCUUUCGCCUGUGACGAAGCGUGAGUGACGGUAAUGGGUAAAGAAGCACCGGCUAACUACGUGCCAGCAGCCGCGGUGAUACGUAGGGUGCGAGCGUUGUCCGGAUUUAUUGGGCGUAAAGGGCUCGUAGGUGGUUGAUCGCGUCGGAAGUGUAAUCUUGGGGCUUAACCCUGAGCGUGCUUUCGAUACGGGUUGACUUGAGGAAGGUAGGGGAGAAUGGAAUUCCUGGUGGAGCGGUGGAAUGCGCAGAUAUCAGGAGGAACACCAGUGGCGAAGGCGGUUCUCUGGGCCUUUCCUGACGCUGAGGAGCGAAAGCGUGGGGAGCGAACAGGCUUAGAUACCCUGGUAGUCCACGCUGUAAACGGUGGGUACUAGGUGUGGGGUCCAUUCCACGGGUUCCGUGCCGUAGCUAACGCUUUAAGUACCCCGCCUGGGGAGUACGGCCGCAAGGCUAAAACUCAAAGGAAUUGACGGGGCCCCGCACAAGCGGCGGAGCAUGCGGAUUAAUUCGAUGCAACGCGUAGAACCUUACCUGGGUUUGACAUGGAUCGGGAGUGCUCAGAGAUGGGUGUGCCUCUUUUGGGGUCGGUUCACAGGUGGUGCAUGGCUGUCGUCAGCUCGUGUCGUGAGAUGUUGGGUUAAGUCCCGCAACGAGCGCAACCCUUGUUCACUGUUGCCAGCACGUUAUGGUGGGGACUCAGUGGAGACCGCCGGGGUCAACUCGGAGGAAGGUGGGGAUGACGUCAAGUCAUCAUGCCCCUUAUGUCCAGGGCUUCACGCAUGCUACAAUGGCUGGUACAGAGAGUGGCGAGCCUGUGAGGGUGAGCGAAUCUCGGAAAGUCGGUCUCAGUUCGGAUUGGGGUCUGCAACUCGACCUCAUGAAGUCGGAGUCGCUAGUAAACGCAGAUCAGCAACGCUGCGGUGAAUACGUUCCCGGCCA